CCUACUUCCGCAAUGACGAGAUCUGCAAGGAUUACUGUCGGAGCGUGCGUGGAUACAGGGCUGCACGUUCCAGCACCAUCCAGUGGUUCUGUGAUUGUGACGGUGAUCCACCCGGCUACAGCCCGGGCUCCUGCCCACCCAGCUUCUUGGAUUGGCUGACGAACCAUGCUGUCCCGGGCACCAACAGCAUUGCCAAGAUCAUCUGCGAGGACCUGUGGCUCAAUCCCCUGCUGUACUAUCCCAGGGAGGAUGUCAGCUUCACGGGAACCGUGCCAGAAGUGGGGUCUGUGCAGGAGGUGGAGCAAGAUGAGGAGGAGGAGGAGGAGGAGGAGGAAGAAGAAGACAACUGAAAUUCCCAGUGGCCCACACAGAGAAUGAGACGUCCCUCAUUGCCAGCCUGUGGGCGUGCCUGGUUUCUGACGGUGGUGCCCCUUCACACCCCUCAGUCCCCACCCCUGGGAAAUGGGGAAGGGCCUGCUGUCUCCACAGCCACUGGGAACACACUGUGUGAGUGUAAA
Molecule: long non-coding RNA, 518 nt
Organism: Ochotona curzoniae (black-lipped pika)
Lineage: Eukaryota; Metazoa; Chordata; Mammalia; Lagomorpha; Ochotonidae
Exons: 4
Source: RefSeq, a predicted model, not a curated record